Molecule: small nucleolar RNA, 207 nt
Filed under: Lates calcarifer (barramundi perch)
Lineage: Eukaryota; Metazoa; Chordata; Actinopteri; Centropomidae
Description: Small nucleolar RNA U3 (ENSLCAG00010005816.1)
Rfam family: Small nucleolar RNA U3
About the family: Small nucleolar RNAs (snoRNAs) are involved in the processing and modification of rRNA in the nucleolus. There are two main classes of snoRNAs: the box C/D class, and the box H/ACA class.
Source: Rfam by way of RNAcentral
AAGACUAUACUUUCAGGGAUCAUUUCUUUAGUUCUUGACUUGAGCAAUGUGUUUCUUAAAAGUUUGGUCUUGCUGCCCACAAUGAAGAGUUAUGAUGUUUUCUUCAGAGCAGGAAUCUAGUGGGAAGACUUUGUUUUUUCUUCACUGUUGAUGACUGUUCAGCAUUUCUGAAAGAAAUGCUGAUGGAGGAAAUAUGUUCUGAGUGGA